This 234-nucleotide ribosomal RNA is filed under the name Bradyrhizobium sp. ISO849_OTU1. RNAcentral describes it as "partial 16S ribosomal RNA". It matches the Rfam family "Bacterial small subunit ribosomal RNA", at positions 29 to 289 of the family's 1533-position model. Lineage: Bacteria; Pseudomonadati; Pseudomonadota; Alphaproteobacteria; Hyphomicrobiales; Nitrobacteraceae. RNAcentral also lists the same sequence under 2 other names. The record is from RNAcentral.
GCGAACGCUGGCGGCAGGCUUAACACAUGCAAGUCGAGCGGGCGCAGCAAUGCGUCAGCGGCAGACGGGUGAGUAACGCGUGGGAACAUACCUUUUGGUUCGGAACAACACAGGGAAACUUGUGCUAAUACCGGAUAAGCCCUUACGGGGAAAGAUUUAUCGCCGAAAGAUUGGCCCGCGUCUGAUUAGCUAGUUGGUAGGGUAACGGCCUACCAAGGCGACGAUCAGUAGCUG